RNAcentral lists this ribosomal RNA (484 nucleotides) under uncultured bacterium. RNAcentral's name for it is "partial 16S ribosomal RNA". It matches the Rfam family "Bacterial small subunit ribosomal RNA", at positions 30 to 507 of the family's 1533-position model. The record is from RNAcentral.
AUUGAACGCUGGCGGCAGGCCUAACACAUGCAAGUCGAGCGGAUGAAGGGAGCUUGCUCCUGGAUUCAGCGGCGGACGGGUGAGUAAUGCAUAGGAAUCUGCCUGGCAGUGGGGGAUAACGUCCGGAAGCGGGCGCUAAUACCACAUACGACCAGAUGGUGAAAGUGGGGGAUCUUCGGACCUCACGCUAUCAGAUGAGCCUAGGUCGGAUUAGCUAGCUGGUGGGGUAAAGGCCUACCAAGGCGACGAUCCGUAACUGGUCUGAGAGGAUGAUCAGUCACACUGGAACUGAGACACGGUCCAGACUCCUACGGGAGGCAGCAGUGGGGAAUAUUGGACAAUGGGCGAAAGCCUGACCCAGCCAUGGCGCGUGUGUGAAGAAGGUCUUCGGAUUGUAAAGCACUUUAAGUUGGGAGGAAGGGCAGUAAGUUAAUACCUUGCGGGUUUGACGGUACCAACAGAAUAAGCACCGGCUAACUUCGUG